This is a long non-coding RNA of Hypanus sabinus (Atlantic stingray), 992 nucleotides long. RefSeq lists it as uncharacterized. NCBI's taxonomy places the organism in Eukaryota, Metazoa, Chordata, Chondrichthyes, Myliobatiformes, Dasyatidae. The transcript has 3 exons. The record is from RefSeq and is a predicted model, not a curated record.
GGAACACUCUGCUUCCCAUUCAUUCCCAUAGGAUCCUACUCAGCCCAGUAAACAAUGUGACUGCACAUAGCAAGUCAGUGGCAUCUUUCACUGAUUUCUGCAAGAUAAAUCAGCAAACCUGGCCACCGUCCAAUCAGGCUGCCUGCCAGACAGCGGUAUUUACAUCUCGUAACUCGUAUUGACUCUUGUGGAAGCAAUGGAAAGGGCAAGGAGAGAGGUGGCUGCGGAGUGAGCCGGAGGAUUGAAUAAAGAGCCAAUGAGAUGGCAUCUGCUGUGGAUCUGUUGCAAACUGGAGUGGAUUCAAGUUACUUCUUGGGCAGAAGUUGAUAAGUUUCAUCACCAACCUCUCAAAACACUUUUUCACUGUGGACGCUACUGAACGCCAGUCAUUGAGAUAGGUUACCAUGUUCUUCUUAGGCACUGGAAUACCUGAAGCCUGCUUGAAGCAAGUGGGUACCUCAGACUUCUGAAGCGAAAAGUUAACGAACUCAGUGAACAUUCCAGCCAAUUGAUCAGCACAGGUUUUUAGUACUUGGCCAGGUACCCUGUUUGGCCCUCCUGAAGGAUGCUCACACAUCCGUCUCACAGACUAAAAUCAUAGGAUUUAUGGGGGCUGUGGGAGUUCGUAAUAGUUUCUCCAUGUUUGAUGGUCAAAGUGAGCAUGGCAUUGAGCUCAUCGGGAAGUGAAAACCUGUUGUUGCCUACGUUGCUUGAUUUAUAUUUAUAAGAGGUGAUAGUAUUUGCCAUGUCACAACUCUCAAGCAUUCUUCAUCGAUUUAAGUUUAGUCCAGAAUUGUCAUUUAGCCUGUGAGAUACUGUAUGCUUUCCGGAGAUUGUAUCGAGAUCCCUUGUAACUUUCUUAUUCAAGAGUCUUGAAUGCCUCUGAUCUGACUCUCAGCAGAUAGCAGAUCUCAUGGUUCAUCCAAGGUUCUGGUUGGAGAAGACUCUGAAUGAUUUUGUGGGGACAUGCUUGUCUACAACUGUUUUAAUAA